CUUGCUACCUUUUGCUUAUGAUGUGCUAAUGAUUUCUACAUAUUCAAAAUAGCAUUUACUCUUGAGUUAUAUCUGUUACAGUAAGUAGUAACAGGAUCAGGUGUGAGUUAAAAAAACCCUUAUGGUGUUAAUUAUUAUGAACAGCUGCUGAUGUAGGUCAGCAAGCAAGCUUGGACCACACCCGGUGGGGUAUAACUGUAUGAGUUUUUAGAAUACAGUUGGUGAUGGUGAUGCUGAAUGUGCAAUGACUGACCAGCAAUGCUCUUUGCUAUGAAGAACUGUGGAAAACACAGUGGCAGUACACCUCUUCACUGUCAUCUCACUGCUGAAUAAAAUCCAUUCUGCUUGACACAAUGUUCAAAUAACAAACCGCAAAAUGGGUAGGAGAUUCAGGGGAGGGGUGAAAGCU
Molecule: long non-coding RNA, 409 nt
Filed under: Anolis carolinensis (green anole)
Lineage: Eukaryota; Metazoa; Chordata; Lepidosauria; Squamata; Anolidae
Description: lncRNA (ENSACAG00000035842.1)
Source: RNAcentral